Molecule: ribosomal RNA, 441 nt
Filed under: uncultured bacterium
Lineage: Bacteria
Description: partial 16S ribosomal RNA
Rfam family: Bacterial small subunit ribosomal RNA
Source: RNAcentral
CCUACGGGAGGCUGCAGUGGGGAAUAUUGCACAAUGGGGGAAACCCUGAUGCAGCAACGCCGCGUGAGUGAGUAAGGCUUUCGGAUUGUAAAGCUCUUUUAGCAGGGAAGAGGAAGCACGGUACCUCCAGAGGAAGCCACGGCGAACUACGUGCCAACAGCCACGGUAAUACGGGGGUGGUAAGCGUUGAUCGGAAUAACUGGGCUUAAAGGAUGCGUUGGCCGUAAAAUAAGGUAUAUGUUAAAUAUAUAGGCCUAACCUGUAGAAAGCCGAUAAAACUGGUUAACUAGAGUGUAGGAGAGGUAAGCGGAAUGCGUAGUGUAGCGGUGAAAUGCGUAGAGAUUAGGAAGAACACCAGUGGCGAAGGCGGCAUACUGGACUGUAACUGACGCUGAGGCAUGAGAGCAUGGGUAGCAAACAGGAUUAGAUACCCGUGUAGUC